GACGUAGGGCGCGAGCGUUGUCCGGAUUUAUUGGGCGUAAAGAGCUCGUAGGCGGCUUGUUGCGUCAGCUGUGAAAACCCGCAGCUCAACUGUGGGCUUGCAGCUGAUACGGGCAGGCUUGAGUUCGGUAGGGGAGACUGGAAUUCCUGGUGUAGCGGUGAAAUGCGCAGAUAUCAGGAGGAACACCCGGUGGCGAAGGCGGGCUCUGGCGGA
Molecule: ribosomal RNA, 213 nt
Filed under: uncultured bacterium
Lineage: Bacteria
Description: partial 16S ribosomal RNA
Rfam family: Bacterial small subunit ribosomal RNA
Source: RNAcentral